This 72-nucleotide transfer RNA is filed under the name Lachnospiraceae bacterium TWA4. It matches the Rfam family "tRNA". From Rfam's summary of the family: Transfer RNA (tRNA) molecules are approximately 80 nucleotides in length. The record is from Rfam by way of RNAcentral. Lineage: Bacteria; Bacillati; Bacillota; Clostridia; Lachnospirales; Lachnospiraceae.
CGCGGGGUGGAGCAGUUCGAAGCGUCGUCGGCUCAUAACCCGAGGUCGCAGGUUCAAAUCCUGUCCCCGCAA